UACGGAGGGUGCGAGCGUUGUCCGGAAUCACUGGGCGUAAAGGGUGCGUAGGCGGGUCUUUAAGUCAGGGGUGAAAUCCUGGAGCUCAACUCCAGAACUGCCUUUGAUACUGAAGAUCUUGAGUUCGGGAGAGGUGAGUGGAACUGCGAGUGUAGAGGUGAAAUUCGUAGAUAUUCGCAAGAACACCAGUGGCGAAGGCGGCUCACUGGCCCGAUACUGACGCUGAGGCACGAAAGCGUGGGGAGCAAACAGG
This 253-nucleotide ribosomal RNA is filed under the name uncultured bacterium. RNAcentral describes it as "partial 16S ribosomal RNA". It matches the Rfam family "Bacterial small subunit ribosomal RNA", at positions 524 to 776 of the family's 1533-position model. The record is from RNAcentral.